GAUGAACGCUGGCGGCGUGCCUAAUACAUGCAAGUCGAGCGAAUGGAUUGAGAGCUUGCUCUUAUGAAGUUAGCGGCGGACGGGUGAGUAACACGUGGGUAACCUGCCCAUAAGACUGGGAUAACUCCGGGAAACCGGGGCUAAUACCGGAUAACAUUUUGAACCGCAUGGUUCGAAAUUGAAAGGCGGCUUCGGCUGUCACUUAUGGAUGGACCCGCGUCGCAUUAGCUAGUUGAUGAGGUAACGGCUCACCAAGGCAACGAUGCGUAGCCGACCUGAGAGGGUGAUCGGCCACACUGGGACUGAGACACGGCCCAGACUCCCACGGGAGGCAGCAGUAGGGAAUCUUCCGCAAUGGACGAAAGUCUGACGGAGCAACGCCGCGUGAGUGAUGAAGGCUUUCGGGUCGUAAAACUCUGUUGUUAGGGAAGAACAAGUGCUAGUUGAAUAAGCUGACACCUUGACGGUACCUAACCAGAAAGCCACGGCUAACUACGUGCCAGCAGCCGCCGUAA
This 515-nucleotide ribosomal RNA is filed under the name uncultured bacterium. Its description in RNAcentral is "partial 16S ribosomal RNA". It matches the Rfam family "Bacterial small subunit ribosomal RNA", at positions 28 to 523 of the family's 1533-position model. The record is from RNAcentral.